GGAGGAUGCGAGCGUUAUCCGGAUUUAUUGGGUUUAAAGGGAGCGUAGNCGGAUUUUUAAGUCAGNUGUGAAAGUUCNCGGCCCAACCGUGAAAUUGCAGUUGAAACUGAAANUCUUGAGUGCACGCNAGGNUGCUGGAAUUCGUGGUGUAGCGGUGAAAUGCUUAGAUAUCACGAAGAACUCCGAUNGCGAAGGCAUGUGUCCGGANUGCAACUGACGCUGANGCUCGAAAGUGUGGGUAUCAAACAGGAUUAGAUACCCUGGUAGUCCACACAGUAAACGAUGAAUACUCGCUGUUUGCGAUAUACAGUAAGCGGCCAAGCGAAAGCAUUAAGUAUUCCACCUGGGGAGU
RNAcentral lists this ribosomal RNA (352 nucleotides) under uncultured bacterium. Its description in RNAcentral is "partial 16S ribosomal RNA". It matches the Rfam family "Bacterial small subunit ribosomal RNA", at positions 527 to 881 of the family's 1533-position model. The record is from RNAcentral.